AGCAUCUGUGCAGAUUACAGGUCAUUUCUUUCCCGACAUAGAUUUUUCAUGAGAAUAUUUGUAAUUUAGAGCACACACUCUGAAGUCAGUGAGAUCUGCGUUUGCAUCCCAGCUCCGCUACCUACUAGCUGUGUGCCUUGGGUCUCGGGGAGGGACGUGGCUGCUGUCCCUGUGUAAGAGGUCACACCAGGUUUAUUCCGGCAACACUGAGUAGCUUCGAUGCUGGAGGCUGGAAGAUGUUUCGAACUUCUUGAUUGUCAGCCUUCUCCGCCACGACAUCCCGCACACUGGACUCACCUGGGGAACUUUAACCAGUGAUUGAAGCUGAUGCCUGAGUCCCACACCCAGCAUCUGAUUCAGCUGCCCUGGGUGGGACCAGGGUGUGGAGGUUUUUAAAGCCCCCAGAUGCUUCUAAUGUGCAGCCGAGGUCACAAACCACUGCACAAAUGCUUGGUUGCAGCAUUCCUGAGUAAUUUUAUUUCUAAAACUCACAAACCACUCAGACACUGACCAUACUAUUUCCUUACAUGGAAACAGAAGGAUGUUUAGCAAUACCG
RNAcentral lists this long non-coding RNA (557 nucleotides) under Equus asinus (donkey). Its description in RNAcentral is "lncRNA (ENSEASG00005026351.1)". The record is from RNAcentral. Lineage: Eukaryota; Metazoa; Chordata; Mammalia; Perissodactyla; Equidae.